This 448-nucleotide ribosomal RNA is filed under the name uncultured bacterium. RNAcentral's name for it is "bacterial SSU rRNA". It matches the Rfam family "Bacterial small subunit ribosomal RNA", at positions 335 to 799 of the family's 1533-position model. The record is from RNAcentral.
ACUCCUACGGGAGGCAGCAGUGGGGAAUCUUGGACAAUGGGCGCAAGCCUGAUCCAGCCAUGCCGCGUGAGUGAUGAAGGCCCUAGGGUCGUAAAGCUCUUUCGCCUGUGAUGAUAAUGACAGUAGCAGGUAAAGAAACCCCGGCUAACUCCGUGCCAGCAGCCGCGGUAAUACGGAGGGGGUUAGCGUUGUUCGGAAUUACUGGGCGUAAAGCGCGCGUAGGCGGACUAUUAAGUCAGAGGUGAAAUCCCGGGGCUCAACCCCGGAACUGCCUUUGAUACUGGUAGUCUAGAGUUCGAGAGAGGUGAGUGGAAUUCCGAGUGUAGAGGUGAAAUUCGUAGAUAUUCGGAGGAACACCAGUGGCGAAGGCGGCUCACUGGCUCGAUACUGACGCUGAGGUGCGAAAGUGUGGGGGGCAAACAGGAUUAGAUACCCUGGUAGGAUAGCG